UCCACCUACAUCCACACCUCCUCCUGGUUCCACCUCUAUCACUCUUCCUCCAUCACUCUCUCCUGCUGUUCUCUCUGUGUUGUCAUGUGUUGGAUCAGUCUGUGUUGUGGUUCUACUGGUGUUACUGGUUCUGCUGGUGAGACGAUGUGUUCACAGGAAACCUGAAGGUGAGACUCAGAUGACUGCAUUUUAGAUGUGUGAGGUGUGUUAAAUAUAUACUGAAAUUGUUUUUAUAUACAUUAUCUACAUUAUACAUAUUAUAUCAGAUGUUUUUUCAUUUACCUUAUUCUCACACAACUCACUCGCAUUUUUACACAUUAAAAAUCUAAAAGUAUGUCUUUAGUUUAGUUUUGUUAUGUCAAGGCUCUGUUUAGACUCUUUACAAUAACAUAUUUCACUGUUAAAUUUGAAACAUUUCACAAGAUCACAGUGAACCUGCAGAAGAUGACAACAUGCACAAAGAUACGACAAUGUCAAAUCAUCAACAACAGCCAAUCAGAGAAGGUGAUCCAGCUGUAAUCUAUUCAGCAAGGAGAAUUGAAGAUGUUAGUUAUGAACACAUAAUCAUCACACCAAAGAUGAAAAGAGACUUUAAACCAGAGCCAGAUGUCGUCUACUCUUCGCUAAGGUAGUCCACCAGUCCAACCACUGACAUCCAGCUGCUGGUCUCUAUCUGGUCCCCCCAGCACCUCAGACCAGAGGACAUCCACAUGUUAACAAAGUUUUUGUUUUUUUCUUUUAUCUACGUGCAUCGGUUUUUUUCACUCUUUUAUGAUUCCAAAAAAUCAGAAAUUAAUUUUUUUUUACUGACACAGAAUCAUCAGUGCUAAUAUAAAUAUAUGAAUGUGUUUUAUAGACACUGUAACUUCACUGUUAUUUAUAAUAAAAAUAUGAGAAAUAAUUUGCUCUUGUUCCCACAGCAAACAUGUGUUUCUCUGCAGGAUUAAGAACCCUUUGUUCUCUUGUGUUUCUCACGUGGUUCUGUGGGUUUCACCAAGAUGUAAGAUGGAAAAUUUGACUUGUUCCGGUUUGGUUGUGGCUAACCGAUGCAGACAUCUUUUCACUUCAGAGAAGAAGAAGAAGAGGGGAAAAAACCCAUUAAACCUGUUCCAUGUUGCAGAAGAGCUACAACAUGGAAAGAGUUCUUACCUUGUUGUUCGAAUUCACACUGAAACCAGCGGCAGCAGCUGACUGUUUGAUAUUAAGGAAAAAUAAUAAUAACAACCUAAACAUUAUUUGGUUGCAGAUUCGUAAAUGUGAUUCUUUACAAUUAAUAUUUAUUACAAAUCUCAAAUUUGGGACUUUUUUCUACUGAACAAAAACAAAUUAAUUCCAACCUUCUAGUUAACUUGGACUACAGGGUGCUUCAUUUU
This is a long non-coding RNA of Oreochromis aureus, 1373 nucleotides long. RefSeq lists it as uncharacterized. Lineage: Eukaryota; Metazoa; Chordata; Actinopteri; Cichliformes; Cichlidae. The transcript has 3 exons. The record is from RefSeq and is a predicted model, not a curated record.